GUCCAGACUCCUACGGGAGGCAGCAGUGGGGGAUAUUGCACAAUGGGGGGAACCCUGAUGCAGCGACGCCGCGUGGGUGAAGGAGCGUUUCGGCGCGUAAAGCCCUAUCGGCAGGGAAGAAGAUGACGGUACCUGACCAAGAAGCCCCGGCUAACUACGUGCCAGCAGCCGCGGUAAUACGUAGGGGGCAAGCGUUAUCCGGAUUUACUGGGGGUAAAGGGGGCGCAGACGGCAAUGCAAGCCAGGAGUGAAAGCCCGGGGCCCAACCCCGGGACUGCCCUUGGAACUGGUUGGCUGGAGGGGGGGAGGGGCAGGCGGAAUUCCUGGUGUAGCGGUGAAAUGCGUAGAUAUCAGGAGGAACACCGGUGGCGAAGGCGGCCUGCUGGACUGCAACUGACGUUGAGGCCCGAAAGCGUGGGGAGCAAACAGGAUUAGAUACCCUAGUAAAA
This 449-nucleotide ribosomal RNA is filed under the name uncultured bacterium. Its description in RNAcentral is "partial 16S ribosomal RNA". It matches the Rfam family "Bacterial small subunit ribosomal RNA", at positions 329 to 793 of the family's 1533-position model. The record is from RNAcentral.